ACGGCAGUUUCCGAAAAGCCGAAUAGUAAACAGAGUAGGAA
This 41-nucleotide non-coding RNA is filed under the name unclassified sequences. RNAcentral describes it as "DUF805b RNA". It matches the Rfam family "DUF805b RNA". From Rfam's summary of the family: Bacteroidetes, Chlorobi (1 example), Proteobacteria. Lineage (Flavobacteria) The record is from RNAcentral.